UACGUAGGGGGCAAGCGUUGUCCGGAUUUAUUGGGCGUAAAGAGCGUGUAGGCGGCUAGGUAGGUCCGUUGUGAAAACUCGAGGCUCAACCUCGAGCUGUCGAUGGAAACCAUCUAGCUAGAGUCCGGAAGAGGAGAGUGGAAUUCCUGGUGUAGCGGUGAAAUUCGUAGAUAUUGGGAAGAACACCGAUGGCGAAGGCAGCCAUCUGGACCGACACUGACGCUGAGGCGCGAAAGCGUGGGGAGCAAACAGG
RNAcentral lists this ribosomal RNA (253 nucleotides) under uncultured bacterium. Its description in RNAcentral is "partial 16S ribosomal RNA". It matches the Rfam family "Bacterial small subunit ribosomal RNA", at positions 524 to 776 of the family's 1533-position model. The record is from RNAcentral.